This 585-nucleotide ribosomal RNA is filed under the name uncultured bacterium. RNAcentral describes it as "partial 16S ribosomal RNA". It matches the Rfam family "Bacterial small subunit ribosomal RNA", at positions 355 to 1375 of the family's 1533-position model. The record is from RNAcentral.
UGGGGAAUUUUGGACAAUGGGCGAAAGCCUGAUCCAGCAAUGCCGCGUGUGUGAAGAAGGCCUUCGGGUUGUAAAGCACUUUUGUCCGGAAAGAAAUCCUUGGCUCUAAUACAGUCGGGGGAUGACGGUACCGGAAGAAUAAGCACCGGCUAACUACGUGCCAGCAGCCGCGGUAAUACGUAGGGUGCAAGCGUUAAUCGGAAUUACUGGGCGUAAAGCGUGCGCAGGCGGUUUGCUAAGACCGAUGUGAAAUCCCCGGGCUCAACCUGGGAACUGCAUUGGUGACUGGCAGGCUAGAGUAUGGCAGAGGGGGGUAGAAUUCCACGUGUAGCAGUGAAAUGCGUAGAGAUGUGGAGGAAUACCGAUGGCGAAGGCAGCCCCCCUGGGCCAAUACUGACGCUCAUGCACGAAAGCGUGGGGAGCAAACAGGAUUAGAUACCCUGGUAGUCCACGCCCUAAACGAUGUCAACUAGUUGUUGGGGAUUCAUUUCCUUAGUAACGUAGCUAACGCGUGAAGUUGACCGCCUGGGGAGUACGGUCGCAAGAUUAAACUUAAAUGAAUUGACGGGGUCAUAGCUGUUUCCU